GUUCCAUACAUCGUACUGAUCCAUCAUGAUGGCCAGACACAGCAGAUGUCACCUAGCAACAAAACAGAACUAUGGACUCAAAUGGAGGCUUCUUCUCACUCCUUCGAUUAAAAAAUGACAGCG
Molecule: long non-coding RNA, 123 nt
Organism: Seriola dumerili (greater amberjack)
Lineage: Eukaryota; Metazoa; Chordata; Actinopteri; Carangiformes; Carangidae
Exons: 3
Source: RefSeq, a predicted model, not a curated record